GUGGGUAUAGCUCAGUGGUAGAGAGCAUGCUUAGGAGUCCUAGGUUCAAUCCCUGGUACCUCCA
This 64-nucleotide transfer RNA is filed under the name Camelus dromedarius (Arabian camel). It matches the Rfam family "tRNA". From Rfam's summary of the family: Transfer RNA (tRNA) molecules are approximately 80 nucleotides in length. Lineage: Eukaryota; Metazoa; Chordata; Mammalia; Artiodactyla; Camelidae. RNAcentral also lists the same sequence under 1 other name. The record is from Rfam by way of RNAcentral.